This is a long non-coding RNA of Beta vulgaris subsp. vulgaris (sugar beet), 537 nucleotides long. RefSeq lists it as uncharacterized. The record is from RefSeq and is a predicted model, not a curated record. The transcript has 3 exons. NCBI's taxonomy places the organism in Eukaryota, Viridiplantae, Streptophyta, Magnoliopsida, Caryophyllales, Amaranthaceae.
CAGUCCAGUCCAGUCUGACAAGUUUGGACUGGACUGGAUUGGACUCUGGACUUUUCGUAGUCCGCUUACACCCCUAACGUUGACAAGAAAGGAUGGCAGUAUCUCGCCAUUGUCAAAGCUAACGAGGAGGAAGUCUCUCACCCUGCUCCAUGUCUAAGAAUGACCGGAUUGAGAAGAGGGGAAGGAAGACAGGAGAGAGAGAAAGAGAUAGCAUCAAAUUUCUGCAUUUGGUUUGAUGAUUAUCUUCAGGAAUUGGAUUAGCGGAAUGAAAUAUAUGCAAAGCAUAGUAAGGAGAAGUGUGAACUUUCCAGAUUACAUAAGGAAUGAAGACUUCUUCUAGGUAAAGAUCAUAUAAUUUAAGAUUAGUAGAAGGAAGCAAAUUAUCAUAUUUACCAAUCAAAUAUGGUAAUGAUAUACAUGUCAUGUAAGUAUUUUGUUUAUCUAUAAAAUAGUUUUUCAAUGUUAUAUAUAAGUGAAUAUAUAUAAUGCUCAUUUCUAUUCAAAAUUCAUUCCAAUCCAAAAGUUGUUUAUUCACAC